This 476-nucleotide long non-coding RNA is filed under the name Gopherus agassizii (Agassiz's desert tortoise). RNAcentral describes it as "lncRNA (ENSGAGG00000014233.1)". The record is from RNAcentral. Lineage: Eukaryota; Metazoa; Chordata; Testudines; Testudinidae.
CUUGUAUUAGUUACUAUAAAAUCUAGAGGCGUUUUUAAAAGAAGUAGAACUUUUUACCUUGAUGUGAUGAAAUUAUGAUUCUCCUUUAUGACUAAUCUUUUAGUGGUUGUGAAGCCCAGAGAUUAUAUGGCAUAGGAAAGCACAAUGGACAGCACACAGCAGCAAUCAAACACACAUCACCAGAAACAAUUUCUCUUCAGUAUAAUAAACAUCAAGCCCUGAUGCUAUGGUGUGGACAAUAAUGGUGAUGUUCUUCAUAAUCCAGGAAACUCUCCCUCCCAACUUCCAAGCCUCUACAGCUUUUCCUGUAGGUCCAUUUUACACCAUCAAAGCUUCACACAGAGGUCCUCAUGGGGCCUGAUUCCUCCUCCUCCUCCUCCUCUUCCUGAUGAAUCUGCUUGUCUGUGUUAUGUUCACAACAUUCACAAGUAGAAGUUGGAUAAAAACCUAAAUAAAAUACUUUCUGCAAAGUUGCA